RNAcentral lists this ribosomal RNA (305 nucleotides) under uncultured bacterium. RNAcentral describes it as "bacterial SSU rRNA". It matches the Rfam family "Bacterial small subunit ribosomal RNA", at positions 335 to 657 of the family's 1533-position model. The record is from RNAcentral.
UAUCCUACGGGGGGCAGCAGUAGGGAAUCUUCCACAAUGGACGAAAGUCUGAUGCAGCAACGCCGCGUGAGUGAAGAAGUAUUUCGGUAUGUAAAGCUCUAUCAGCAGGGAAGAAGAUGACGGUACCUGAGUAAGAAGCCCCGGCUAACUACGUGCCAGCAGCCGCGGUAAUACGUAGGGGGCAAGCGUUAUCCGGAUUUACUGGGUGUAAAGGGAGCGUAGACGGUGAGACAAGUCUGAAGUGAAAGCCCGGGGCUCAACCCCGGGACUGCUUUGGAAACUGCCUGACUGGAGUGCUGGAGAGG